GAAAAGUUUUAUAAACAGAAUACAAUCAAUUCUGAUGAUCAACAUUAUUAUAAUGAAAAGAAGUAAACUAUUUACAUAAGAAAUUUAGAGAAAUAAAGUUUAAAUAAAGAAAAAUGAUAAAAAUAGCUCAAUAAAUUGUAAAUUAACAGCAAAUUGAUAUAAAUACAAAAUGGUUUAUGAAAACAAAUAAUCAAAACAAAAAACUGCAAUAGUAAGACAACGCUGUCCAAAAACAGUAGCAGCGCGAUUGACGUCGCUACUGUUUGUGGCCAAUGCUCACAAUUAUAAAUAGUAACGGCGAUGUCGUCACAUUUGAAUAUGCGCUAAAUUUCAAAGGAUAAUAGGUUUCUGUACGACUCCACUGAUUUUCUACGGAGAAACUAAAAAGUCAAUGAAAAAUUGAAUUAAUGCAUAAUAAAGGAAUGAAAAAGUUAGAAAGGUACAAAAUUUUUGAGAAUUUUUGCAUGACCUUGAAAUUUUUCACAAAGCACAAUACAUGGCGUGGAGUCCCUCAGACGCCACUUCUACAACGGUGGGUUAAAAAACAGAGAGGUAGUAUAAUAUAUAGGAAUAGGGACGUAUACUGUUGUAUGAUUAAUAUUGUGUUAUAUAUAUCUGAGUUUGUCCAUUCUCAUGAGAAUUAGAGUAUAUUGUUGUUAGAGUUAUUGAAACUCUAGUGGUCUGGAAACUUGAGCUGAUGACCUGUUGUUAAGAAAAGCUUAUGAAAGAUCAAGCAAUCUAAACUUUUCCGAUAAAAAUUAUUUAUUAAUACAUUAUACUUUAAAACCAAUUAAUUUCCACUCAUUAUAAUUGUGGCUGUGAUGAAUGAUUUAUGAUUUGAUUUUAUUUUCUGAUAAAGAUUUGCC
This 866-nucleotide long non-coding RNA is filed under the name Androctonus crassicauda. The record is from RNAcentral. Lineage: Eukaryota; Metazoa; Arthropoda; Arachnida; Scorpiones; Buthidae.